This 253-nucleotide ribosomal RNA is filed under the name uncultured bacterium. RNAcentral describes it as "partial 16S ribosomal RNA". It matches the Rfam family "Bacterial small subunit ribosomal RNA", at positions 524 to 776 of the family's 1533-position model. The record is from RNAcentral.
UACGUAGGGGGCGAGCGUUGUCCGGAAUUACUGGGCGUAAAGGGUGCGUAGGCGGCCUGAUAAGUCAGAUGUGAAAUACCAGGGCUCAACCCUGGGGGUGCAUUUGAAACUGUCGGGCUUGAGUGCAGGAGAGGAAAGCGGAAUUCCUGGUGUAGCGGUGAAAUGCGUAGAUAUCAGGAGGAACACCAGUGGCGAAGGCGGCUUUCUGGACUGUAACUGACGCUGAGGCACGAAAGCGUGGGGAGCGAACAGG